AGACCCGAAACCCGGUGAUCUAGCCAUGGGCAGGUUGAAGGUUGGGUAACACUAACUGGAGGACCGAACCGACUAAUGUUGAAAAAUUAGCGGAUGACCUGUGGCUGGGGGUGAAAGGCCAAUCAAACCGGGAGAUAGCUGGUUCUCCCCGAAAGCUAUUUAGGUAGCGCCUCGUGAAUUCAUCUCCGGGGGUAGAGCACUGUUUCGGCUAGGGGGCCAUCCCGGCUUACCAACCCGAUGCAAACUGCGAAUACCGGAGAAUGUUAUCACGGGAGACACACGGCGGGUGCUAACGUCCGUCGUGAAGAGGGAAACAACCCAGACCGCCAGCUAAGGUCCCAAAGUCAUGGUUAAGUGGGAAACGAUGUGGGAAGGCCCAGACAGCCAGGAUGUUGGCUUAGAAGCAGCCAUCAUUUAAAGAAAGCGUAAUAGCUCACUGGUCGAGUCGGCCUGCGCGGAAGAUGUAACGGGGCUAAACCAUGCACCGAAGCUGCGGCAGCGAACGUAUCACCCAAGACAACUUUACGGAGUUGACGAUUGACGGAGCGAAGCGACGUCAAAGCGUUCAUUAAAGUCGAGUUGGCUUAGGGAUACGUUCGUUGGGUAGGGGAGCGUU
This 616-nucleotide ribosomal RNA is filed under the name Salmonella enterica subsp. enterica serovar 4,[5],12:i:-. Its description in RNAcentral is "partial 23S ribosomal RNA". It matches the Rfam family "Bacterial large subunit ribosomal RNA", at positions 711 to 1240 of the family's 2925-position model. RNAcentral also lists the same sequence under 1 other name. Lineage: Bacteria; Pseudomonadati; Pseudomonadota; Gammaproteobacteria; Enterobacterales; Enterobacteriaceae. The record is from RNAcentral.